This 573-nucleotide small RNA is filed under the name Pongo abelii (Sumatran orangutan). Its description in RNAcentral is "retained intron". The record is from RNAcentral. Lineage: Eukaryota; Metazoa; Chordata; Mammalia; Primates; Hominidae.
GUGCGGCGGCGUUGCGGGCGGGAGCGGCUGCAACGCCGGUGCCUGAGGAGCGAUGCCGAGGGAAAUCAUCACCCUACAGUUGGGCCAGUGCGGCAAUCAGAUUGGGUUCGAGUUCUGGAAACAGCUGUGCGCCGAGCAUGGUAUCAGCCCCGAGGGCAUUGUGGAGGAGUUCGCCACCGAGGGCACUGACCGCAAGGACGUCUUUUUCUACCAGGCAGACGAUGAGCACUACAUCCCCCGGGCCGUGCUGCUGGACCUGGAACCCCGGGUGAUCCACUCCAUCCUCAACUCCCCCUAUGCCAAGCUCUACAACCCAGAGAACAUCUACCUGUCGGAACAUGGAGGAGGAGCUGGCAACAACUGGGCCAGCGGAUUCUCCCAGGGAGAAAAGAUCCAUGAGGACAUUUUUGACAUCAUAGACCGGGAGGCAGAUGGUAGUGACAGUCUAGAGGUAAGUGUCCCAGGAAUGCUGGUAGGAGCCGACAUAGGUAAGGCUUGGCAGCACCCUCUAGAAGCAACCUGUUAGGAACAAGACCCAUCAUGUACCCUUUGCACUGGACAGAAGCUAUCAGG